AUUGACAUUGUCACACAGUCAAAUAUUGUUAAUUCAGCUCACAAGCGGUGAAGCAGCUUGAAAAGAGCAGUAGAGGAUAAACCUACAUUUCAACUGCUAGUCGACUGAGGACAUCGCGGAAUGACUUUCCGCCGCUAUUAGCAUUUACAAUUGUAUCGUUCGAGCCAUAUAUUGGACUAGAAACCGAAACGUACACUUAAAUAUAACCGCCAAUAUAGAAACAUUUAAAGAUACAUCAGUAAGAAACGAAACACUUGUAAUGAUUAUUCACUCACCGAUGAAGCAGCUGUCAAUAAUACUCCAAUGACGAUGAGACUUGUGCCCUUCAUAUUUAUGCUUGUAGUCGUUGCGACGAGCAUCGAGAGUCAAUCAACUCCCGCUGAUAUUUAACUUCCUAGUCAACAGUAUAGUAUUGACGUUUGUUUGAAUAGUAACGCAAUCUUUACUCUCAGCCAAAUUGUGUGGGAAUUCCAAUCAUGAACAGUUGAUAAAUUUGCUUGAAAAAUUCUUCUUAAUUCUUUUUCUUCUCUAGACCCUUCAGCUUCCCGUUUUUUUUCUAAUCUUUGUCUCACUGCUCAAUUGCCCACGCAAUUUGUUUUAGUGUCCAAGACGAUCAAGGAGGAUUACUACAAAGAUUCUUUGCAUUUCUAAAUUUUAUGGAAAUAAGGAUUUUUUAUUUGCAUUUAAAUUCUCAAGACUACUCG
Non-coding RNA from Paramuricea clavata, 704 nucleotides. The record is from the annotation of a GenBank genome assembly. Lineage: Eukaryota; Metazoa; Cnidaria; Anthozoa; Malacalcyonacea; Plexauridae.